UUCCAACGUUUCCACAAUAACCACCACCCGGACAAAGAAUCACCAUAGUUUGUUAAAUCAGUGUCAUCUUGUGAUCCAACAUCGAUAGCCAAGAUGUGAUGAGCUCCUUGUCUCAACAUUUCGUCAGCUUAAAGAAAAAAGACAGAUAAUACCUGGCACGUUAUUAACAUAACACCCGUCGACCAAAAGAUGCCCAUCAAGAGGAUCGCAAAUAGGAGGAAAGACACCAGCAAUAGUCAUACUGGCUCGAAUGUAUCUCCAUAGUAAACCUGAGUUGACUUAGCUAUUCAGAAUUUGAUAAAUGCAUCUUUUAUCAACGGGAGUGAGCUUAUAAUGUCGUUUUUUCUUUUUUUUUUCUUUUUUUUUUUUCUUUUUCUUUUUUUUCUUCUACAUUACCAAAUCAAAUAUAACUACAAGAUUUUAAGAAAUAUUUUUCUCAAACGAGCGUUACACUUAAAUUGCAAAAUCUGAUGAUACAAGUAUGCAGCAUUAGAAAUAUGUACAUACAAGUAUGUGUCAGAAAAAUGUUUUAUGUAAAAACGAAAUAAAUUUACUUUAAAUCUAUUUAUCAUCGGUUAGAAGCAUUUGUAAAUUUUUAUCAACGAUAAAAUUAUUUAUUUUUCUUAUUCGUGUACAAGGUCUAUAUAAAAGUAGAUUUAUACGUUUUUACAUAAAACAAAUUUAGUCAUAUUAUUCAAAUAUUACCUGGAAGGUUAUUGACGUACCCGCCGUCGAGUAGGAGAUGGCCAUCAACAGGAUCACACAUGGGUGGCAUAUAACCAGAUAAUGACAUCGAAGCCCGAAUGUAACGCCACAGCGAUCCUAAACACGACGAAUUAUUUCUUUUUUUCUUUUUUUUUUUUUUUCUUUUUUUUUUUUUUU
Molecule: long non-coding RNA, 882 nt
Organism: Vespa mandarinia (Asian giant hornet)
Lineage: Eukaryota; Metazoa; Arthropoda; Insecta; Hymenoptera; Vespidae
Source: RefSeq, a predicted model, not a curated record